AGAAACUUAGGAUAACACUAAACCAAGAGCCUUCAAAGCCCAAAAUAGGGAUGAAAUUACCCUAGUUUCUG
This 71-nucleotide transfer RNA is filed under the name Stenocercus limitaris. Its description in RNAcentral is "tRNA-Trp". It matches the Rfam family "tRNA". From Rfam's summary of the family: Transfer RNA (tRNA) molecules are approximately 80 nucleotides in length. Their secondary structure includes four short double-helical elements and three loops (D, anti-codon, and T loops). Further hydrogen bonds mediate the characteristic L-shaped molecular structure. tRNAs have two regions of fundamental functional importance: the anti-codon, which is responsible for specific mRNA codon recognition, and the 3' end, to which the tRNAs corresponding amino acid is attached (by aminoacyl-tRNA synthetases). tRNAs cope with the degeneracy of the genetic code in two manners: having more than one tRNA (with a specific anti-codon) for a particular amino acid; and 'wobble' base-pairing, i.e. permitting non-standard base-pairing at the 3rd anti-codon position. The record is from RNAcentral. Lineage: Eukaryota; Metazoa; Chordata; Lepidosauria; Squamata; Tropiduridae.